ACCCCGCUCCUCCUCCCUGAGCGGGGGAAUGUCCCGGACUACAAUCCGGGACACGUUCGGCCCCGGAAUCUCUCCCCUUGUUUCCGGGGCUUUUUUU
Candidatus Muproteobacteria bacterium RBG_16_65_31 is the source of this 97-nucleotide non-coding RNA. Lineage: Bacteria; Pseudomonadati; Pseudomonadota; Candidatus Muproteobacteria. The record is from Rfam.